GAUGAACGCUGGCGGCGUGCCUAAUACAUGCAAGUCGAGCGAACGGACGAGAAGCUUGCUUCUCUGAUGUUAGCGGCGGACGGGUGAGUAACACGUGGAUAACCUACCUAUAAGACUGGGAUAACUUCGGGAAACCGGAGCUAAUAGCGGAUGAUAUUUUGCACCGCAUGGUUCAAAAGUGAAAGACGGUCUUGCUGUCACUUAUAGAUGGUUCCGCGCUGCAUUAGCUAGUUGGUAAGGUAACGGGUUACCAAGGCAACGAUGCAUAGCCGACCUGAGAGGCGGAUCGGCCACACGGGAGCGUGGACGCGGUCAAGACGCCUACGGGAGGCAGCAGUAGGGAAUCUUCCGCAAUGGUCGAAAGCCUGACGGAGCAACGCCGCGUGAGUUAUGAAGGUCUUCCGAUCGUAAAACUCUGUUAUUAGGGAAGAACAUAUGUGUAAGUAACUGUGCACAGCUUGACGGUACCUAAUCAGAAAGCCACGGCUAACUACGUG
RNAcentral lists this ribosomal RNA (497 nucleotides) under uncultured bacterium. RNAcentral describes it as "partial 16S ribosomal RNA". It matches the Rfam family "Bacterial small subunit ribosomal RNA", at positions 28 to 507 of the family's 1533-position model. The record is from RNAcentral.